AGUCCGAGCGGACAGAUGGGAGCUUGCUCCCUGAUGUUAGCGGCGGACGGGUGAGUAACACGUGGGUAACCUGCCUGUAAGACUGGGAUAACUCCGGGAAACCGGGGCUAAUACCGGAUGCUUGUUUGAACCGCAUGGUUCAAACAUAAAAGGUGGCUUCGGCUACCACUUACAGAUGGACCCGCGGCGCAUUAGCUAGUUGGUGAGGUAAUGGCUCACCAAGGCGACGAUGCGUAGCCGACCUGAGAGGGUGAUCGGCCACACUGGGACUGAGACACGGCCCAGACUCCUACGGGAGGCAGCAGUAGGGAAUCUUCCGCAAUGGACGAAAGUCUGACGGAGCAACGCCGCGUGAGUGAUGAAGGUUUUCGGAUCGUAAAGCUCUGUUGUUAGGGAAGAACAAGUACCGUUCGAAUAGGGCGGUACCUUGACGGUACCUAACCAGAAAGCCACGGCUAACUACGUGCCAGCAGCCGCGGUAAUACGUAGGUGGCAAGCGUUGUCCGGAAUUAUUGGGCGUAAAGGGCUCGCAGGCGGUUUCUUAAGUCUGAUGUGAAAGCCCCCGGCUCAACCGGGGAGGGUCAUUGGAAACUGGGGAACUUGAGUGCAGAAGAGGAGAGUGGAAUUCCACGUGUAGCGGUGAAAUGCGUAGAGAUGUGGAGGAACACCAGUGGCGAAGGCGACUCUCUGGUCUGUAACUGACGCUGAGGAGCGAAAGCGUGGGGAGCGAACAGGAUUAGAUACCCUGGUAGUCCACGCCGUAAACGAUGAGUGCUAAGUGUUAGGGGUUUCCGCCCCUUAGUGCUGCAGCUAACGCAUUAAGCACUCCGCCUGGGGGAGUA
This 842-nucleotide ribosomal RNA is filed under the name Bacillus subtilis. Its description in RNAcentral is "bacterial SSU rRNA". It matches the Rfam family "Bacterial small subunit ribosomal RNA", at positions 60 to 882 of the family's 1533-position model. Lineage: Bacteria; Bacillati; Bacillota; Bacilli; Caryophanales; Bacillaceae. The record is from RNAcentral.